This 3324-nucleotide transfer RNA is filed under the name Paramuricea clavata. The stretch from base 1894 to 1966 matches the Rfam family "tRNA". The record is from RNAcentral. Lineage: Eukaryota; Metazoa; Cnidaria; Anthozoa; Malacalcyonacea; Plexauridae.
UACCUUUUUUUGAUACACCUUGUAUAAAUGAUAAGUAGCACUUAGAUAAUCAGCCAAUGAAAUAACGAGAACUUAAAGAGGUGUACUGGAAAUGUUAAUUUGAUCUUGUUUCGAGAGACUUCUUUUCGUUUUCCGCAUUCAUAACGUAUAAAUGCUAACAUCUUCUUGUCUCAAACAGUUUGAAGUCGGUUUCGUCGAUCAAAAAAAAUGUUUCCAAAGUGUUUUCAUUUUGUGAUGUUGGUUGUCGUUUCCCUACAAUUGAAAGGUAAGCGUUUCAUGGUUUACAAAGUUAAUAAAAGAAUUCAUUUAUUAACUUUGCCAUCAUCCGUAUAUAUACUGACUUUCGAUGCACCGAUAUCGGCCUAUCUGUACUAAAAUAGAACAAUAUCGGUAUCGGUAAUUUUGUUGUUGAUAUUACCGAUAUUAUACAAACUAUUAUUAAAUAUUAAUGAUUGGUUAUAGUUGCAGUUCAAUAGUUAUUUUUAUUACAAAUAAACAGUCACUGGCGUGGUAAUACACUAUAGUUUGUUGCAUUCAUUUGGCAUCAUUUCAUUUGAUAUUUUCAGUAUUUUUUCACUAAUAGCUACUAAUACAAAUGAAUUGAAUUCAAUUCAAUUCAAAAGUAUUAAAGUAGAACUGUCAUGAUGUCAUCUCUGAAAUGAUAUAUAUAAUAUCGGUAUCGGCAAAAUAUCGGCCCUUCAAUAUCGGUGCAUCACUAACUGACUUAUAUACUGGGAAACCACAAGGCACAACAGAUAUUGCCAAUUGCUGUGGCCAUGCACGGAAACAAUCUACAAAGUACAGUUAUUACACACACAAUAAACAUUAAAUUACUUGGACAAUAGUCAUUACAGAAAGUCUAGAAACACUGAUGCCAAAGGGGGUUCGUCACAUUGCAAUUGCGAGGAUCCCCGACCUCAACGUCGUAUAUAUUUUCUAAUGAUAGAAUGUAUUAAUGGAAAAGUAGUUUCUUGAGUUCUGUAAAUGUUUCGUUUUUGAAUAUAAUGUAAUGAGGUAGUGUACUCCAUAUCAGUCUUGUUGCUGGGAUUGUGUAUGAUUUUGAUAGGCUCGGACAUGCUAAAUGCUGGUAUUCGAUAUUUGUAUGCGAGUUGGGAUCAGCUGAUCUUGUCUUUGUGGUAGAAGAGUUAAAAGAUUUUUUCUCAAUAAUAAAUAUACCGUGAUUUACCGUAUAGAAAAAUAUCAUGACCAGAUAUAUUCGUGCCAGUUAGGGACACGCACAUGGCCGAGAGCCCGAGACACGCCGGACGUGAUUCGACAAUGCGGCGCGAUUUUUCGACCUCCACUGACCGAUAACUUUGAUCCUGAUUUGAUUUUACAAUCUUAAGAAGCGUUAGAACAGUUUGAGUUAUUUAAUGGUCUACAUAUCUUUUAAAAUUUUCUUUCAUUGGUUGUUUUAUUAACCUUCAAAAACUGAAAAAUCGUGCCGCGUUGUCGAACCGCGUCCGGUGUGUCUGGGCAGUUUAUGCCGGAAUUUCUUUUAGAAAACAGGGUUUUUUUUUAAACCAGGGAUAAUAAGGAGACGUUCCGGUAUGACGUCAUCGUGCCAACGGAAAUUCCGUAAUUAGCAUAUGCGUCAUCCGCCUACAUUAUGGCGUCAUACUUGUGUAUCUAUUACCGAACAGACAACGGCAAAAUCUUAUCUAUUUUUUAAAUAUCGUAAGGCUGGCAACUUUUUGCUAAAAUACAUUUACACACACUAAUACAUUCGCUUGAAACAACAAACUUAAAAAGCAAGAAAGGAACAUUGGGCCCGCGGUAAUUGGCAAUAAGCUGUUUGUUAUGCUUGUGAUGUUACUCUGAGUGUAUAUCCACACCGGGCAAGCUUGAAAAAUAUGCCUGACCACGGUGGGAAUCGAACCUACGAACUGACCAGACCGCGUAGCUCAGUUGGCAGAGCAUUGGGCUAGUAUUCCAAAGGUCGUAGGUUCGAUUCCCACCGUGGUCAGGCAUAUUUUUCAAGCUUGCCCGGUGUGGAUAUACACUCAGAGUAACAUCACAAGCAUCAUAUUCACCUGAGUACAUUACACCAACACAAAAAAAAUCAAGCUGUUUGUUAUUGUAAUUUUAUGCGGGCAAAGUUAAUAAAUUAAAAUACAAAACGCCUUAGAGUUUUUUUCUAACUUUAUAUAUUGAUAAAUCUGAAAAUUCAGAAGAAAGUUUAUUGACUGCAGUAGUUUAUAUCGGAAUUUUCCGUUUUUUCAGCAACCGAUAAGCGAUAAGCCGCCGGAUAAAUUCACUUUUUAUUGAAGCAAAUUUAAGUAAUCAUGAUAUUUUUCUGUGUUGGUGUAAUGUACUUAGGUGAAUAUGAUGCUUGUGAUGUUACUCUGAGUGUAUAUCCGCACCGGGCAAGCUUGAAAAAUAUGCCUGACCACGGUGGGAAUCGAACUUACGACCUUUGAAAUACUAGCCCAAUGCUGUGCCAACUGUACGCGAGUACAUAAACACCAACACAGAAUUUUUUUUAUGAUUACUAGAUGACAUCGAUAUCGAAGGAUCUAGACUCAGUUCCGAAAUAUCACAUACUCGAACCGACCGACCGCGUAGCUCAGUUGGCAGAGCAUUGGGCUAGUAUUCCAAAGGUCGUAGGUUCGAUUCCCACCGUGGCCAGGCAUAUUUUUCAAGCUUGCCCGGUGCGGAUAGGCCGGAUAUACACUCAGAGUAACAUCAUAAGCGUCAAAUUUAAGUAGCUUUAAUUAAGAGACCAUCACAUUAUUUCUGUAUUCAAUUUAAUUUUUGUAUUUUUUUUCAGGGACAGCUUGUUUCUUCGUCAAAGACGUCACGCCAAUUUCGCAGUUUGAACGACGUCAUAUAGGCUCACUAGCCCUGGUAGCUAAAUGUAUUAACGACACAGGUCAAAUACAGUCAAACGGGAGUUGGGGAAACUUGUCUUUUCUGAAACUUUCCUACUACAGCUGUUUGGAUCCAGCUGCUCAGUUUCGGUUUCGUGAUAAUGGUGCCAUGUUAAAUCUAAAAAGACAGGGAUGUCUCGCUGCUCUUCAUAGGAACGGUUCUGGUUAUGAUCUUGAUAUGUUUUAUCUUUACGUUGACUCAGCCAGUUUAGACACAGCUGCCUGUGCUCAGAAGCCUAACGAGAGCAUCUAUCGUGCUAUAACCCAGACCCCAGAGGGAGCAUUAUCUGUUUAUUAUAAAGGGAAAGAUAAGAGUUCAUUUCAAACCUGGUGUGCAUAUUAUUCAUCUAAUUCACAACUUUAUAGAAAUUAUGGAAUAUCUGGCUACAUGGCAUUGUCGACACCAUGUCAUCCCCCCACUCAUUAUAGGCCUAUUAAGAAAUUCGGUUUCGGU